RNAcentral lists this ribosomal RNA (253 nucleotides) under uncultured bacterium. Its description in RNAcentral is "partial 16S ribosomal RNA". It matches the Rfam family "Bacterial small subunit ribosomal RNA", at positions 524 to 776 of the family's 1533-position model. The record is from RNAcentral.
UACAGAGGGUGCGAGCGUUACUCGGAAUUACUGGGCGUAAAGCGCGUGUAGGCGGCUACGCGUGUCGGGCGUGAAAUCCCAUGGCUCAACCAUGGAAGUGCACCCGAAACUGCGUAGCUAGAGUCCUGGAGAGGAAGGUGGAAUGCUUGGUGUAGAGGUGAAAUUCGUAGAUAUCAAGCGGAACACCGGUGGCGAAGGCGGCCUUCUGGACAGUGACUGACGCUGAGACGCGAAAGCGUGGGGAGCAAACAGG